UACCCGAAUUGACCACCACACCCUCACACUAUACCACCCCACCUCCACCCAAAAUUUCAUUUUAUUUUAAUGGUUAAACCCCCUCCCCCUCCCCCCCCCCCCGAUUUUAUUUUUUUUCGCAUUUUUUUUCCCCUUUUUUUGAAAAUAAUGUCAUAAAUGUCCACAUUCCCAUGCUAUACACCCCUCUUCACUCCACCCCUCCCUCCUUUGUGAUUGAAAAUGAGAGUCCCUUCACCUUUAAAAAGAAAAUAGAUGAGCGGUCUGCACCCGCAAGGCGGUGCUCUUGUUUAUAUCUAUUUCUUAAUAUUUUUCAGUAGUAAUAAUGUCUAAGAAUGUAUCUGGGUAGAAUGAAUAUCUGUUCUUUUAAAGGUUGUAACUGAUGCUCUAUUUCUUUUGGACAUGACAUGUUACUGUCUCGUUUGUACAGAGAUUCAAUUAAAUACUACAUUUUAUUAUGUGUGAUUCUAUUUUUGUGUUCCAAAUAGGCAGUCUGACAUAUUAGGUAUAUUGAAAACUCUUACAUAUAACAUUUGUAAGUAUCUGUUAUUAAUGACAGUUAAAUGAAACAAUGGUUGUAUAGUUGUGUAUAUUACAAAGUAUAAUUAUUGUUAUAUUUCGAAAUUAGAAUUAUGUUUAUAUUUUAAUUCACAUACACUUUCAACUAUAAUUUGUAAUAGUGCCGUUGCUACUUAAAUUUUAUGUGGUUUGGAUGCACACUGUUAUAUUCUAUGCUCCUUCAAAAUACAAUUAAGGUUUCACCUUAACGGUUAUAACGCGAGUGAAAAGCAAUAUACACUGUUAUCAUGUGAUUUAAAACAAGUUUUGUUCAAUUAUCUGUAAAGUUCAUUCAUAACUAUUUUAUAACAUGUCUGCUUAAUCCACUUACUAUAUUCAAGCAUUUUGCAUUAUUGUUUUUGUUUAACACUAGAAACUGUUAAGUAAGGUAUAUAUCUUGUUGUAACUUUAAUUGCAUUUAUUAUGUACUGCAUAUUAAUUGUUGGGAUAGUUCCGCAUAUGUAACAUGUUUUUAUUCACGUGUUUUUAUGUCCCCCACUAUAGUAGUGGGGGACAUAUUGUAUUUGCCCUGUCUGUUGGUCUGUUGGUCUGUCUGUCUGUUUGCGCCAACUUUAUUAUUUUGCAAUAACUUUAACUAUAUUGAAGAUAGCAACUUCAUAUUUGGCAUGCAUGUGUAUCUCAUGAAGCUGCACAUUUUGAGUGGUGAAAGGUCAAGGUCAUCCUUCAAGGUCAGAGGACAAAUAUAUGUGGCCCAAAUCGCUUAUUUUAUAAAUACUUUUGCAAUAUUGAAGAUAGCAACUUGAUAUUUGGCAUGCAUGUGCAUCUCAUGGAGCUGCACAUUUUGAGUGGUGAAAGGUCAAGGUCAAGGUCAUCCUUCACAAGGUCAAGGUCAUCCUACAAGGUCAAACAUCAUAUAGGGGGACAUUGUGUUUCACAAACGCAUCUUGUUUAAUCUGUCUUUGUGUUUUAACGGUCGCCUUUAAUGGACUGUCAAAACUGUGUUUGAAUGUAUUUAAUCAAUUGCCAUUAUUAUCUUUUUAAUGAAGGUUAUAUUAUAGUAUCGUGUCUGUUCCUAGAUGUAUUCUACGACAAUAUGGCUGCAUUUUUAGAACUGUUAUGCACUGAUUUACAACUAUUAUGUCACAUUAAAUACUGUACUUGUAACAUCUAUAUUUUCAUAGAGCAUAUUACAUGACCUUUUGACCAUCUACAUUUUUUAUUGCGUAGGUGGUCUGUUUAUGGUUUAUGAAAUGCUUGUUUUUAAUAUCAAACGCAACCAGUUAAAACAUUUUGUUUCUCGUGUUUGUUUAACUACAGACACCUUUUCAUAAUGUCAUAAUAUCAGUUUCAUUAAAUAAUAUAUUGUACUAUGUGCAGAGCCUUUGAGCUGCCUAUAUUUUUGUUUCGCAAAGGUAGCAAGCAAGGGCUAAUUCUUAUGAAAUUGAUACAAGCAUGAAAAAAGCAUAAUUGAUAUUUAGUUAAAUACUGUUUGCUAUCACGUGAAACGAAAUUUGUUACGCGGGGUAAGUAAAACGUGUUAUUAUUGUGACAAUUGUCAUGUGAAGACCCAAUAUAUGUACAAUAUGCUUAUUUGAUAUUUUGUUGUCAUAAUUAAGCUCCAUUACAAAUGAUGUAAUACGACCUAUUCAAUUACAUAUAUACUAUCAAUGGUUAUUAAUAUAAUUAUACCUAUAUUUAUGCCCCUCUUCGAAGAAGAGGGGGUAUAUUGCUUUGCUCAUGUCGGUCGGUCUGUUGGUCGGUCGGUCCGUACACCAGGUGGUUUCCGGAUGAUAACUCAAUAACGCUUGGGCCUAGGAUCAUGAAACUUCAUAGGAACAUUGAUCUUUACUCGCAGAUGACCCCUAUUGAUUUUUAGGUCACAAGGUCAAAGGUCAAGGUCACAGUGACAAAAAUCAUAUACACACAAUGGCUGCCACUACAACGGACAGUCCAUAUGGGGGGCAUGCAUGUUUUACAAACAGCCCUUGUUUUUAUAUUGCAUUAAAUUGAGUUUAUUAGCCUCAUACACUCUGACGCACUUAGGAUAUAUUUAAUUACAUGUAUACUUUCGAUAAUUAUUUAUGUUCUAGUGUAAUGUAUAAUAACUCAUAAUGUAUAAUAAUUCAUGUAUGCACCGUUGUAACCAAACGAUUUUAUUUCUUUGCAUAACUUUAUUUUGUAUAAACAUAAACUGUGUAUUGUGGAAACACUGUAUCAUGUAUGCUUGAUUUGUCCACUUGGGCUUUUGGCUUUCUGGAUGGAUUGUUUAAUAAACUAUGUUCUAAAAAAUGCAAA
Dreissena polymorpha is the source of this 2811-nucleotide long non-coding RNA. RefSeq lists it as uncharacterized. The transcript has 2 exons. The record is from RefSeq and is a predicted model, not a curated record. NCBI's taxonomy places the organism in Eukaryota, Metazoa, Mollusca, Bivalvia, Myida, Dreissenidae.